RNAcentral lists this ribosomal RNA (253 nucleotides) under uncultured bacterium. Its description in RNAcentral is "partial 16S ribosomal RNA". It matches the Rfam family "Bacterial small subunit ribosomal RNA", at positions 524 to 776 of the family's 1533-position model. The record is from RNAcentral.
UACAGAGGGGGCAAGCGUUGUUCGGAAUUACUGGGCGUAAAGGGCGCGUAGGCGGCCCGCUAAGUCGAACGUGAAAUCCCCGAGCUCAACUCGGGAACUGCGUCCGAUACUGGCGGGCUUGAAUCCGGGAGAGGGAUGCGGAAUUCCAGGUGUAGCGGUGAAAUGCGUAGAUAUCUGGAGGAACACUGGUGGCGAAGGCGGCAUCCUGGACCGGCAUUGACGCUGAGGCGCGAAAGCUAGGGGAGCAAACGGG